GACGAACGCUGGCGGCGUGCUUAACACAUGCAAGUCGAACGGAAAGGCCCUGCCUUUGUGGGGUGCUCGAGUGGCGAACGGGUGAGUAACACGUGAGUAACCUGCCCUGGACUUUGGGAUAACUUCAGGAAACUGGGGCUAAUACUGGAUAUGAGCUCCUGCUGCAUGGUGGGGGUUGGAAAGUUUCGGCGGUUGGGGAUGGACUCGCGGCUUAUCAGCUUGUUGGUGGGGUAGUGGCUUACCAAGGCAUUGACGGGUAGCCGGCCUGAGAGGGUGACCGGCCACAUUGGGACUGAGAUACGGCCCAGACUCCUACGGGAGGCAGCAGUGGGGAAUAUUGCACAAUGGGCGGAAGCCUGAUGCAGCAACGCCGCGUGCGGGAUGACGGCCUUCGGGUUGUAAACCGCUUUCGCCUGUGACGAAGCGUGAGUGACGGUAAUGGGUAAAGAAGCACCGGCUAACUACGUG
This 468-nucleotide ribosomal RNA is filed under the name uncultured bacterium. RNAcentral's name for it is "partial 16S ribosomal RNA". It matches the Rfam family "Bacterial small subunit ribosomal RNA", at positions 28 to 507 of the family's 1533-position model. The record is from RNAcentral.